Molecule: ribosomal RNA, 250 nt
Filed under: uncultured bacterium
Lineage: Bacteria
Description: partial 16S ribosomal RNA
Rfam family: Bacterial small subunit ribosomal RNA
Source: RNAcentral
UACGAAGGGGGCUAGCGUUGUUCGGAUUUACUGGGCGUAAAGCGCAUGUAGGCGGGUCGUUAAGUUGGGGGUGAAAUCCCGAGGCUCAACCUCGGAACUGCCUUCAAAACUGGCGACCUGGAGCGUGAUAGAGGCGAGUGGAAUUCCGAGUGUAGAGGUGAAAUUCGUAGAUAUUCGGAGGAACACCAGUGGCGAAGGCGACUCGCUGGAUCAUUGCUGACGCUGAGAUGCGAAAGCGUGGGGAGCAAAC